This is a long non-coding RNA of Suncus etruscus (white-toothed pygmy shrew), 170 nucleotides long. RefSeq lists it as uncharacterized. Lineage: Eukaryota; Metazoa; Chordata; Mammalia; Eulipotyphla; Soricidae. The record is from RefSeq and is a predicted model, not a curated record. The transcript has 3 exons.
CUGAAGUUUCCUGGCAUAAGACCAACUCUAGGCUCCAGGCAAACUAGUUUGUCCAAUCCAAGUCAUUGUCUGUAGUGCCAAUACACUUUUAUUUUUCACAAUUCUGGAAUCUGCAUAUCCUACAUUGCAGUCAGGAUGGUACAGAGCGUCCUCUCUUUCACCUCACAAUU